RNAcentral lists this unclassified non-coding RNA (286 nucleotides) under Hevea brasiliensis (rubber tree). The record is from RNAcentral. Lineage: Eukaryota; Viridiplantae; Streptophyta; Magnoliopsida; Malpighiales; Euphorbiaceae.
CUCAGGCCUAUUUUCUACGCAUAAAAUCGGCGUUACUGUCAAUUUUCCCAACGCAACAAUCAGAGCAUCACCUGAAAGGAUUUUGGAUGAGCGUUUCCGAUGAUAAGUUUAGCGAUGGAGGAGACUCCGAGAUCCAAACCAAGUCCGUAUCAGGACGCAGCACCGGCUGGUCCGAGCUGACUCACGAGUGCUUGAUCAGCAUACUCUCUCGACUCACCUUGGAGCACCGAUGGCGAGGACCUAUGCUGGUCUGCAAGUCCUGGCUCAGCGCCUGCAAGGACCCCUC